AUUGAACGCUAGCGGGAUGCUUUACACAUGCAAGUCGAACGAGUGGCGGACGGGUGAGUAAUAUAUCGGAACGUGCACAGUAGCGGGGGCUAAAUACUCGAAAGAGUGGCUUAUAACGCAUAAUACUGGAGCGGCCGCUAUCGGAUUAGCUAGUUGGUGGGGUAAAGGCUCACCAAGGCAACGAUCAGUAGCUGGUUUGCUAGGACGACCAGCCACACGGGGAUGGAGACACGGCCCAGACUCCUACGGGAGUCCGCAGUGGGGAAUUUUGGACAAUGGGGGAAACCCUGAUCCAGCCAUCCCGCGUGUAUGAGAAGGCCUUCGGGGUGUAAAGUACUUUUGGCAGAGAAGCGAUAGCUGCAGAAUAAGCACCGGCUAACUACGUGCCAGCCGCCGCGGUAAUUC
This 405-nucleotide ribosomal RNA is filed under the name uncultured bacterium. RNAcentral describes it as "partial 16S ribosomal RNA". It matches the Rfam family "Bacterial small subunit ribosomal RNA", at positions 30 to 526 of the family's 1533-position model. The record is from RNAcentral.